RNAcentral lists this microRNA precursor (214 nucleotides) under Picea abies (Norway spruce). RNAcentral's name for it is "miR11521 stem-loop (pab-MIR11521)". The record is from miRBase by way of RNAcentral. Lineage: Eukaryota; Viridiplantae; Streptophyta; Pinopsida; Pinales; Pinaceae.
UGUUUCACGUGAGAGAAGCUGCAUCUAGGGGCUCUUUAACAUCCUUGCAAAGUGAACUUUAUGAGGACUUGACUGGACGGAAGCAGAUAAUGGAUAACAUUGAUACAGGGAUAUCGAUGUUAAAAGGUCUUGUCCCGCCUUCUCAAGUUCUCAUAGUUUUAGAUGAUGUGGAUUCUGAUGAGCAGCUGCGGGCAUUAUUUUCACCGUUGAAGGA